UAUGAACGCUGGCGGCGUGCCUAAUACAUGCAAGUCGAACGCUUCACAUCGGUGAAGAGUGGCGAACGGGUGAGUAAUACAUAAGUAACCUGGCAUCUACAGGGGGAUAACUGAUGGAAACGUCAGCUAAGACCGCAUAGGUGUAGAGAUCGCAUGAACUCUAUAUGAAAAGUGCUACGGGACUGGUAGAUGAUGGACUUAUGGCGCAUUAGCUGGUUGGUAGGGUAACGGCCUACCAAGGCGACGAUGCGUAGCCGACCUGAGAGGGCGAACGGCCACAUUGGGACUGAGACACGGCCCAA
RNAcentral lists this ribosomal RNA (302 nucleotides) under uncultured bacterium. RNAcentral's name for it is "bacterial SSU rRNA". It matches the Rfam family "Bacterial small subunit ribosomal RNA", at positions 29 to 334 of the family's 1533-position model. The record is from RNAcentral.